Molecule: ribosomal RNA, 820 nt
Filed under: Bacillus sp. STS39
Lineage: Bacteria; Bacillati; Bacillota; Bacilli; Caryophanales; Bacillaceae
Description: bacterial SSU rRNA
Rfam family: Bacterial small subunit ribosomal RNA
Source: RNAcentral
GGGAAGUACGUGUCGGAUAUUGGGCGUAAGCGCGCGCAGGCGGUUUCUUAAGUCUGAUGUGAAAGCCCACGGCUCAACCGUGGAGGGUCAUUGGAAACUGGGGAACUUGAGUGCAGAAGAGGAGAGUGGAAUUCCACGUGUAGCGGUGAAAUGCGUAGAGAUGUGGAGGAACACCAGUGGCGAAGGCGACUCUCUGGUCUGUAACUGACGCUGAGGCGCGAAAGCGUGGGGAGCGAACAGGAUUAGAUACCCUGGUAGUCCACGCCGUAAACGAUGAGUGCUAAGUGUUAGAGGGUUUCCGCCCUUUAGUGCUGCAGCAAACGCAUUAAGCACUCCGCCUGGGGAGUACGGUCGCAAGACUGAAACUCAAAGGAAUUGACGGGGGCCCGCACAAGCGGUGGAGCAUGUGGUUUAAUUCGAAGCAACGCGAAGAACCUUACCAGGUCUUGACAUCCUUCGCUACUUCUAGAGAUAGAAGGUUCCCCUUCGGGGGACGAAGUGACAGGUGGUGCAUGGUUGUCGUCAGCUCGUGUCGUGAGAUGUUGGGUUAAGUCCCGCAACGAGCGCAACCCUUGAUCUUAGUUGCCAGCAUUCAGUUGGGCACUCUAAGGUGACUGCCGGUGACAAACCGGAGGAAGGUGGGGAUGACGUCAAAUCAUCAUGCCCCUUAUGACCUGGGCUACACACGUGCUACAAUGGAUGGUACAAAGGGCUGCAAGACUGCGAAGUCAAGCCAAUCCCAUAAAACCAUUCUCAGUUCGGAUUGCAGGCUGCAACUCGCCUGCAUGAAGCCGGAAUCGCUAGUAAUCGCGGAUCAGCA